AUUUUGCUAGUUUAGCAUAUUGAAUUUGAUGUAGUGAUUUUUUUAUAAAAAUCAGGAGGGGAGUGUGCUGGAUUCCGGAUUUUUUUUUUUAUAUUUGUCCGGGAUUGGUUUUGUUUUGUAUGUUACAAAAAGCUCCCAGCACGUUCACGGCAUGGUACCCGUACUCAUGCAUUUUGACUUCCAACUUUCCACAACUUCAUGGCACCAAAGUUAUUUUACCCUCCCUGGAGGUUGUCUCUCUGCCAUUAAAAGUAAAGAAACAUA
Molecule: long non-coding RNA, 264 nt
Organism: Ostrea edulis (European flat oyster)
Lineage: Eukaryota; Metazoa; Mollusca; Bivalvia; Ostreida; Ostreidae
Exons: 2
Source: RefSeq, a predicted model, not a curated record